UGGGGAAUAUUGGACAAUGGGCGGAAGCCUGAUCCAGCAACGCCGCGUGAGGGAUGACGGCCUUCGGGUUGUAAACCUCUUUCAGCACAGACGAAGCGCAAGUGACGGUAUGUGCAGAAGAAGGACCGGCCAACUACGUGCCAGCAGCCGCGGUAAUACGUAGGGUCCGAGCGUUGUCCGGAAUUAUUGGGCGUAAAGGGCUCGUAGGCGGUUUGUCGCGUCGGGAGUGAAAACACCGGGCUUAACUCGGUGCUUGCUUUCGAUACGGGCAGACUAGAGGCAUUCAGGGGAGAACGGAAUUCCUGGUGUAGCGGUGAAAUGCGCAGAUAUCAGGAGGAACACCGGUGGCGAAGGCGGUUCUCUGGGAAUGUCCUGACGCUGAGGAGCGAAAAGUGUGGGGAGCGAACAGGAUUAGAUACCCUGGUAGUCCACACCGUAAACGUUGGGCGCUAGGUGUGGGAUCCAUUCCACGGGUUCCGUGCCGCAGCUAACGCAUUAAGCGCCCCGCCUGGGGAGUACGGCCGCAAGGCUAAAACUCAAAUGAAUUGACGGGGUCAU
Molecule: ribosomal RNA, 558 nt
Filed under: uncultured bacterium
Lineage: Bacteria
Description: partial 16S ribosomal RNA
Rfam family: Bacterial small subunit ribosomal RNA
Source: RNAcentral